Molecule: ribosomal RNA, 497 nt
Filed under: uncultured bacterium
Lineage: Bacteria
Description: partial 16S ribosomal RNA
Rfam family: Bacterial small subunit ribosomal RNA
Source: RNAcentral
GAUGAACGCUGGCGGCGUGCCUAAUACAUGCAAGUCGAGCGAACAGAUAAGGAGCUUGCUCCUUUGACGUUAGCGGCGGACGGGUGAGUAACACGUGGGUAACCUACCUAUAAGACUGGAAUAACGCCGGGAAACCGGGGCUAAUGCCGGAUAACAUUUAGAACCGCAUGGUUCUAAAGUGAAAGAUGGUUUUGCUAUCACUUAUAGAUGGACCCGCGCCGUAUUAGCUAGUUGGUAAGGUAACGGCUUACCAAGGCAACGAUACGUAGCCGACCUGAGAGGGUGAUCGGCCACACUGGAACUGAGACACGGUCCAGACUCCUACGGGAGGCAGCAGUAGGGAAUCUUCCGCAAUGGGCGAAAGCCUGACGGAGCAACGCCGCGUGAGUGAUGAAGGUCUUCGGAUCGUAAAACUCUGUUAUUAGGGAAGAACAAAUGUGUAAGUAACUGUGCACGUCUUGACGGUACCUAAUCAGAAAGCCACGGCUAACUACGUG